This 451-nucleotide ribosomal RNA is filed under the name uncultured bacterium. Its description in RNAcentral is "bacterial SSU rRNA". It matches the Rfam family "Bacterial small subunit ribosomal RNA", at positions 28 to 467 of the family's 1533-position model. The record is from RNAcentral.
GACGAACGCUGGCGGCGUGCCUAACACAUGCAAGUCGUACGGGACCGGGGGCAACUCCGGUUCAGUGGCAGACGGGUGCGUAACACGUGAGGAACUUGUCCGGUGGCGGGGGAUAGCCGGCCCAACGGCCGGGUAAUACCGCAUACGCUCGUUCGGGGGCAUCCCUGGGCGAGGAAAGCAGCCGCAAGGUUGCGCCGACGGAGGGCCUCGCGACCUAUCAGCUUGUUGGCGGGGUAACGGCCCACCAAGGCGACGACGGGUAGCUGGUCUGAGAGGAUGAUCAGCCACAUUGGGACUGAGACACGGCCCAGACUCCUACGGGAGGCAGCAGUGGGGAAUAUUGCGCAAUGGCCGCAAGGCUGACGCAGCGACGCCGCGUGUGGGAUGACGGUCUUCGGAUUGUAAACCACUGUCAGGGGGAACGAAUACAGGGCUUCGAUAAGGAGACCCU